Molecule: ribosomal RNA, 406 nt
Filed under: uncultured bacterium
Lineage: Bacteria
Description: partial 16S ribosomal RNA
Rfam family: Bacterial small subunit ribosomal RNA
Source: RNAcentral
AUUGAACGCUGGCGGCAGGCUUAACACAUGCAAGUCGAGCGAGCGGCGGACGGGUGAGUAAUGUCUGGGAAACUGCCUGAUGGCGGGGGAUAACUAAUGGAAACGGUAGCUAAUACCGCAUACCAUCAGAUGUGCCCAGAUGGGAUGAGCUAGUAGGUGGGGUAACGGCUCACCUAGGCAACGAUCCCUAGCUGUUCUGAGAGGAUGAACAGCCCCACUGGAACUGAGACACGGUCCAGAGUCCUACGGGAGGCAGCAAUGGGACAUGUUGGACAAUGGGAGCAAGCCUGAUCCAGCCAUGCCGCGUGUGUGAAGAAGUCCGUCGGGUUGUAAAGCACUUUCAGCGGGGAGGCGUUACCAGCAGAAGAAGCACCGGCUAACUCCGUGGCAGCAGCCGCGGUAAUAC